CAAGUUAUUAAGGGUGCAGGGCGGAUGCCUUGGCACUAGGAGCCGAUGAAGGACGUGAUAAGCUGCGAUAAGCUUCGGGGAGUUGCACGUAAACUUUGAUCCGAAGAUUUCCGAAUGAGGAAACUCACUUAGAGUAAUGUCUAAGUAUCAUUAAGUGAAUACAUAGCUUAAUGAGGGGAACUCAGGGAACUGAAACAUCUAAGUACCUGAAGGAAGAGAAAGAAAUUCGAUUCCGUAAGUAGCGGCGAGCGAACGCGGAUUAGCCCAAACCAAUAAAGUUUUCUUUAUUGGGGUUGCGGACAUAUCAUAACGAAGAGGUAUCGUAAUUGAAGAGGUUUGGAAAGACCCACCACAGAAGGUAAUAGUCCU
This 369-nucleotide ribosomal RNA is filed under the name Clostridioides difficile. RNAcentral describes it as "partial 23S ribosomal RNA". It matches the Rfam family "Bacterial large subunit ribosomal RNA", at positions 4 to 374 of the family's 2925-position model. The record is from RNAcentral. Lineage: Bacteria; Bacillati; Bacillota; Clostridia; Peptostreptococcales; Peptostreptococcaceae.